Molecule: ribosomal RNA, 592 nt
Filed under: uncultured bacterium
Lineage: Bacteria
Description: bacterial SSU rRNA
Rfam family: Bacterial small subunit ribosomal RNA
Source: RNAcentral
UACUCCUACGGGAGGCAGCAGUGGGGAAUCUUCCGCAAUGGACGAAAGUCUGACGGAGCAACGCCGCGUGAGUGAUGACGGCCUUCGGGUUGUAAAGCUCUGUUAAUCGGGACGAAAGGCCUUCUUGCGAAUAGUGAGAAGGAUUGACGGUACCGGAAUAGAAAGCCACGGCUAACUACGUGCCAGCAGCCGCGGUAAUACGUAGGUGGCAAGCGUUGUCCGGAAUUAUUGGGCGUAAAGCGCGCGCAGGCGGAUAGGUCAGUCUGUCUUAAAAGUUCGGGGCUUAACCCCGUGAUGGGAUGGAAACUGCCGAUCUAGAGUAUCGGAGAGGAAAGUGGAAUUCCUAGUGUAGCGGUGAAAUGCGUAGAUAUUAGGAAGAACACCAGUGGCGAAGGCGACUUUCUGGACGAAAACUGACGCUGAGGCGCGAAAGCCAGGGGAGCGAACGGGAUUAGAUACCCCGGUAGUCCUGGCCGUAAACGAUGGGUACUAGGUGUAGGAGGUAUCGACCCCUUCUGUGCCGGAGUUAACGCAAUAAGUACCCCGCCUGGGGAGUACGACCGCAAGGUUGAAACUCAAAGGAAUUGACGGA